AAACCAUGCAUCAGGCAUUUUCUAAUUAAUUCCUUGAAACGCUCUCAUGCUUCGAAUAAUGUCUCAUCUUCAAAUUGCGUGAAUGAUGUAAUGUCAUUCCUCAUCUU
This is a non-coding RNA of Gossypium hirsutum (cotton), 107 nucleotides long. Lineage: Eukaryota; Viridiplantae; Streptophyta; Magnoliopsida; Malvales; Malvaceae. The record is from Rfam.